Molecule: long non-coding RNA, 1698 nt
Organism: Bos taurus (domestic cattle)
Lineage: Eukaryota; Metazoa; Chordata; Mammalia; Artiodactyla; Bovidae
Source: Ensembl
GGGAAGAUCCCCUGGAGAAGGAAAUGACAACCCACUCCAGUAUUCUUGCCUGGAGAAUCCCAUGGACAGAGGAGCCUGGCAGGCUACAGUCCAUGGGAUUGUAAAGAGUUGAGUAUGACUGAGCACACACACACCAGCUGUGUUUCGGAGAAGCCAGCCCCCUACCCUCUGCCCCAAUGCAUCAGGCCUGACUGUGGCCACUGCCCAGUCUCUCGCUCUGGCAUGAGCCUGUCUCUUCCUUUCACCCUUCUUUCUACCAGCAGGCAGAUCUGGAAGCGCCAUAAAAGGCUGUGUUCUGAGCUCCUCUUCCCCACCUCCCCUCAAUCAGGCUCGUCCCUUACAGAGUCCUGAAAUUCCACUGUUAGCAAUGCCUGUCCUUAGGCUGGGCUUUCAGAAGUAUCAAUAUCCCAUGAGAGGGACCCCAGAGGAAGUGAACUGGUUUCUGAAGUAUUUCCCAAACUGGAGAUGAGUGAGGCUUCCCUGGUGGUCCAGUGGUUAAGAACCCACCCUGCAAUGCAACGGACACUGGUUUGAUCCCUGGUCCAGGAAGAUCCCACGUGUGGCCCGUGUGCCACAGCUACAGAGUCCAAGCUACAGAGCCCAAGAGCUGCGACUACUGGAGCCUGCGUGCCUGGAGGCAACGAAAGAAGCCAACGCAAUGAGAAACCGACACACCACAGUGAGAAACCACGUGAGGAGUAGCCCCAGCUCGCCACGACUAGAGAAAGCCCGAGCACAGCAACAAAGACCCACUACAGCCAAUAAAUAAAUAAAUAUUUUUAAAAAGCGAGUUAAGACCCAGGACUUCCCUGGUGGUCCAGUGGUUACGACUCUGAGCUUCCAAUGCAGGGAGCAUAGGUUUGAUCCCUGGAACUAAUCUUGAGGAACUAAGAUCCCCCAUGCCACACAGCCAAAAAAAAAAAAAAAUGAAGGAAAAGAAAAUUAAGGCUCGAGAGGUGUGAGUAUGUAGGUGUGUGGGGGAAAGGCUGAGAUGGAGGCCACUUCUAAAUGGGGAAAGGCCCUGCAGGUCUCUUCUCUCACCCUCACCUCUCAUCUGGGCACAGAUCAACCUCCAAAAAGUGCCUUUGACACAGACGAGUUUCCCCUAGAGGUCUCCCUGGAGGAGGAAUCUCUCCCGGCUGCAUGGCAGAGAAGAAAGCCAGCAGGAUGGCAUGGAGGGAGACUUCAUUGUGAGUCUCUGCUAAUCUUAGUGCAUGGUGGAGCAGGAGGGCUGGGCCUUUACUCCUGUUCCCACUCCUGGGCUGAACUGCAGCUGUGGACACAAGGCAAGACUCAGAGAAGGACUCGGCUGAGCCUGGCAGCCACUGCACCCUGGACAGGACAGGGGAGGUCCUGGUAAGGAACACAGAACUAACAAGCCACCACCAACCAGAAGAGUUCAGGAAAGAUCAAAAGGAGAGGCCACCUUUCCUACUGCUGCUGCUGCUGCUGCUGCUAAGUCACUUCAGUCGUGUCCGACUCUGUGUGACCCCAUAGGCAUCCUCCCAGAAUACUCGCUGGAAUCCACCUUGGCUGAGCAAUGUGUGCACCACCAGGAAGGACCCUGGGUCACAGUGAUUAGCCAGAGACAACCCCAAAACUAGUUCCCUCACCAUAAAACCUGAGACUGCGGGCCACAUGGCAGAGCAGUUUUCCUGGGUUUUUACCCUCCUGCUCUCCCUCUGGGUGCCCCUUCCC